GAUCAAAGUGUAGUAUCUGUUCUUAUCAGCUUAAUAUCUGAUACGACCUCCAUCGGGGGUCAAGAUAUUAAUCUUAUUUUUGGCAUGGGGCGGAAAGCUUGAGGCUUGCUUCACCUCCGCCGCGGGUUGGC
Molecule: small nuclear RNA, 131 nt
Filed under: Kimula goodnightorum
Lineage: Eukaryota; Metazoa; Arthropoda; Arachnida; Opiliones; Kimulidae
Description: partial U2 snRNA
Rfam family: U2 spliceosomal RNA
About the family: U2 is a small nuclear RNA (snRNA) component of the spliceosome (involved in pre-mRNA splicing).
Source: RNAcentral